ACCCAAUAGAUACCCAGGUAGUCCACGCCCUAAACGAUGGAUACUCGACAUACGCGAUACACUGUGUGUGUCUGAGCGAAAGCAUUAAGUGUCCCACCUGGGAAGUACGAUCGCAAGAUUGAAACUCAAAGGAAUUGGCGGGGUCGCACAAGCGGUGGAGCAUGUGGUUUAAUUACGAUGAUACGCGAGGAACCUUACCUGGGCUAGAAUGCAUUUGUACCGUGGGUGAAAGCUCACUUUGUAGCAAUACACAAUUGUAAGGUGCUGCAUGGCUGUCGUCAGCUCGUGCCGUGAGGUGUUGGGUUUAAGUCCCGCAACGAGCGCAACCCCUAUCACUAGUUGCCAUCAGGUAACGCUGGGAACUCUAGUGAAACUGCCGUCGUAAGACGUGAGGAAGGAGGG
RNAcentral lists this ribosomal RNA (402 nucleotides) under uncultured bacterium. RNAcentral describes it as "bacterial SSU rRNA". It matches the Rfam family "Bacterial small subunit ribosomal RNA", at positions 771 to 1177 of the family's 1533-position model. The record is from RNAcentral.